Molecule: long non-coding RNA, 332 nt
Organism: Heteronotia binoei (common prickly gecko)
Lineage: Eukaryota; Metazoa; Chordata; Lepidosauria; Squamata; Gekkonidae
Exons: 5
Source: RefSeq, a predicted model, not a curated record
CAGGGGGAAGCUGGUCCUAAGGGUGAGAAAGGUGAACCAGGAUUGACUGGGAAACCAGGAGAGCCCGGCCUAAGAGGUAAAGAUGGUGAAGCCGGCUUUCCUGGGCCCAAAGGAGAAAGGGGAGACCCCAUGACGAUCUUUGGACCUCAGGGCUAUAAAGGCAGCAAAGGAGAGCAGGGUGAAAGAGGCCCUUCAGGAUUUGAUGGUGACAAAGGCGAGAAAGGAGAGGAUGGACCUGCGGGAGAAAAGGGUGUGAAAGGAGAGGCCGGAGUGAAAGGCGCCAUGGGGCUCUUCGGCACACGAGGUCCAGUGGGCCAGAAGGUCAGUACAAG